GGCGGCGUGCUUAACACAUGCAAGUCGAACGAUGAAGCCCUUCGGGGUGGAUUAGUGGCGAACGGGUGAGUAACACGUGGGCAAUCUGCCCUUCACUCUGGGACAAGCCCUGGAAACGGGGUCUAAUACCGGAUACCACUUCCCUGUCCGCAUGGGCAGGGGUUGAAAGCUCCGGCGGUGAAGGAUGAGCCCGCGGCCUAUCAGCUUGUUGGUGGGGUAACGGCCCACCAAGGCGACGACGGGUAGCCGGCCUGAGAGGGCGACCGGCCACACUGGGACUGAGACACGGCCCAGACUCCUACGGGAGGCAGCAGUGGGGAAUAUUGCACAAUGGGCGAAAGCCUGAUGCAGCGACGCCGCGUGAGGGAUGACGGCCUUCGGGUUGUAAACCUCUUUCAGCAGGGAAGAAGCGAAAGUGACGGUACCUGCAGAAGAAGCGCCGGCUAACUACGUGCCAGCAGCCGCGGUAAUACGUAGGGCGCAAGCGUUGUCCGGAAUUAUUGGGCGUAAAGAGCUCGUAGGCGGCUUGUCACGUCGGAUGUGAAAGCCCGAGGCUUAACCUCGGGUCUGCAUUCGAUACGGGCUAGCUAGAGUGUGGUAGGGGAGAUCGGAAUUCCUGGUGUAGCGGUGAAAUGCGCAGAUAUCAGGAGGAACACCGGUGGCGAAGGCGGAUCUCUGGGCCAUUACUGACGCUGAGGAGCGAAAGCGUGGGGAGCGAACAGGAUUAGAUACCCUGGUAGUCCACGCCGUAAACGUUGGGAACUAGGUGUUGGCGACAUUCCACGUCGUCGGUGCCGCAGCUAACGCAUUAAGUUCCCCGCCUGGGGAGUACGGCCGC
Molecule: ribosomal RNA, 838 nt
Filed under: Streptomyces sp. IM-7347
Lineage: Bacteria; Bacillati; Actinomycetota; Actinomycetes; Kitasatosporales; Streptomycetaceae
Description: bacterial SSU rRNA
Rfam family: Bacterial small subunit ribosomal RNA
Source: RNAcentral